ACAUGCAAGUCGAACGGUGAACCGGGCUUCGGCCCGGGGAUCAGUGGCGAACGGGUGCGUAACACGUGGGCAACCUGCCCCUCACUCUGGGAUAACCCCGGGAAACCGGAGCUAAUACCGGAUACUCCGCGCGGUCCGCAUGGGCCGCUCGGGAAAGGUCCGCCGGUGAGGGAUGGGCCCGCGGCCUAUCAGCUUGUUGGUGUGGUAACGGCUCACCAAGGCGACGACGGGUAGCUGGUCUGAGAGGACGACCAGCCACACUGGGACUGAGAUACGGCCCAGACUCCUACGGGAGGCAGCAGUGGGGAAUCUUGCGCAAUGGGCGAAAGCCUGACGCAGCGACGCCGCGUGGGGGAUGAAGGCCCUCGGGUUGUAAACCCCUUUCGGCAGGGACGAAGCGAUCGUGACGGUACCUGCAGAAGAAGCCUCGGCUAACUACGUGCCAGCAGCCGCGGUAAGACGUAGGAGGCGAGCGUUGUCCGGAUUCAUUGGGCGUAAAGAGCACGCAGGCGGUUUGGCAAGUCGGAUGUGAAAACCCGAAGCUCAACUUCGGGCCUGCAUCCGAAACUGCCCGACUAGAGGUAGGUAGGGGAGA
RNAcentral lists this ribosomal RNA (595 nucleotides) under uncultured soil bacterium. RNAcentral's name for it is "bacterial SSU rRNA". It matches the Rfam family "Bacterial small subunit ribosomal RNA", at positions 53 to 660 of the family's 1533-position model. The record is from RNAcentral.